UACUCAAUCCUUACUCCGAGGUUACUCAGCCCUUUCUUCAGGGUUCUUUGGCGCUUUGUCUCUGCUCAGCCCUUACUCUGGCUUUACUCCACCCUUAUUUAGGAGCAACCUGGUGCUUUGACAUUACUCAGCCCUUACUCUGAGUUUACUCCAUCCUUCUUUGGUGAUUACUUUGUCAGUAUUCAGCCCUUACUCUGAAUUUACUCCGCCCUUAAUUCGGAGUCCCCUCGUCACUUUGUCACUACUCCAUCCUUACUCUGAGUUUACUCAGCCCUUCUUUGAGGGUUACUUGGUUCCACGUUACUACUCAGCCGUUACUCUGUGCUUACUCAGCCCUUAUUUGGAGGUUACUCGGUACUUUGCCAAUCCUCUGCCCUUACCCCCAGCCACUUCCUCUGCCUUUACUCCUCUCAUACUCACACUUUCCCCCCAAGGAUAUACUCCUCUCUUCUAUUAUUGCUUUACUCACCCUUUACUCAUGCUUUGCUCACUGCUUCUCCCUCCCCCAGGCACUACUCCACUCUUACACCCUUCCCCCAAGGCCCCUCAGCCCUUACUCAGAGGUUACUCACAGGCUCUUACCACCACGUCACCCUCUCUGGCCCUGUGUUAGCUUACUCAGAACGAACCUGGCAUUACUCAGCACUUACUCAGCACUUACUCAGCACUUACUCAGCACUUCAUCCAUCUCCUCGCGCUCUACUCCAGGUUUACUCCAAGCCUCCCCACCCCUGCGGUGCCUUUACUCAGAGGUUCCGUGGCUGCAGCUCUGCCUUUCCCCACUUACUCCAAGGUUACUCUGCCCUUACUACCGGCACUUCUCCUUGGGGGGGGUUCAAGCUGAUGUUACUCAGCCACUACUACAGCUCACAAGCGUUACACUGAGGUUACUCAGCCCUCACUGCGGUUGCACAAACGUUACUCCCGCGUCGGCCCUUGCUCUGCUGAGAUCACACCUUACUCUGAGUUUACACCCUCUUUACUCCCAGGUUCCCCCUUCCUCCAAAGUUCAUCUGUGUUACUCUGUCGUUACUCACAAUGGCCUUACUCCCUCUUUACUCCGCUGUUACUCCAUGGUUACUCCAUGGUUACCCCACCCAAUGUCAGGGUCUGCAUUGCCCCCCCCCCCAAAUGUUGGGUAAUAGGGGAGGGCUUACUCCGGGUUUGCUCAACCCUUACUCUGACUUUACUCAACCCUUACUCUGGUCUUACUCAGCCCUUACUCGGGGUUGCCCCAUGCAUGCGUGUCCUUACUCAGCCCUUACUCCAGGUUUGCACAUGGGGUUGUGACGGGGGCCUUACCCCAUACUUAGUGAUUAUUCGGUACUUUGUCCCUACUCAAUCCUUACUCUGACUUUACUCAGCCCUUACUUUGGGUAUUUCCCAUUAUUUUGUCACUAAUCCGCCUUUACUCCUGGCUUACUCAGCCCUUACUCUGCGAUUACUCUGCCCUUACUCGGGGUCACUCAUGCUGAGUGUCCCUACUCAGACCUUACUCCAGGUUUGCUCAACCCUUACUCUGACUUUACUCAACCCUUACUCUGGUCUUACUCAGCCCUUACUCGGGUUCACCCCAUGCAUGCGUGCCCUUACUCAGCCCUUACUCCAGGUUUGCACAUGGGGUUGUGACGGGGGCCUUACCCCAUACUUAGUGAGUAUUCGGUACUUUGUCACUACUCAAUCCUUACUCUGAGCUUACUCAGCCCUUACUCGGGGUCACCCCAUGCAUGCGUGCCCUUACUCAGCCCUUACUACAGGUUUGCUCAUGGGGUUGUGGCAGGGGCCUUACUCACCCCACACUUUGUGAUUAUUCGGUACUUUGUCACUACUCAAUCCUUACUCUGAGUUUACUCAGCCCUUCAGGUAUUUCCCAUUAUUUUGUCACUAAUCAGCCUUUACUCUGAGCUUACUCAGCCCUUACUCUGGGCUUACUCUGCCCUUACUCGGGGUCACCCCAUGCAUGCGUGCCCUUACUCAGCCCUUACUCCAGGUUUGCUCAUGGGGUUGUGGCAGGGGCCUUACCCCACACUUCAUGAUUAUUCGGUACUUUGUCCCUACUCAAUCCUUACUCUGAGUUUACUCAGCCCUUACUUUGGGUGUUACCCGUUAUUAUUUCACUGCUCAGCCUUUACUCCAAGUCUG
RNAcentral lists this long non-coding RNA (2142 nucleotides) under Numida meleagris (helmeted guineafowl). Its description in RNAcentral is "lncRNA (ENSNMEG00000006322.1)". The record is from RNAcentral. Lineage: Eukaryota; Metazoa; Chordata; Aves; Galliformes; Numididae.